AGCCUAAGCCUUAGCUUGGCCUGAGCCUCAGUGUUCUCACCUGAGAAAUGGGUUAAGCAUUAACGACACCCCCCUAGAUGGAAGCCCAAAUCUGCAUCUCCUGUGUUUUCUUUCUCUGGAGGCACACGGUGCUCUGCCCCCUCACCAUGAGAUAGCCCCAGGUGCCGCCCUCACCUUCUCAUCUGAAUUUGAGUGACAUGCAUCUUGUAUUCUCAAAGAGUCUGAUCCUGGGGUGAAGAGGACCCAGCUGUGUGCACUUGGGCACAGUGCUCUACCUCUCUGAGCCUGUUUCCUCACGAGUAAAUGUGAACAUUAAGGUCGAUAUUUGGAGACCCCUGUAAGGAUUAAAUGAGAU
Long non-coding RNA from Bos taurus (domestic cattle), 355 nucleotides. NCBI's taxonomy places the organism in Eukaryota, Metazoa, Chordata, Mammalia, Artiodactyla, Bovidae. The record is from Ensembl.